Molecule: ribosomal RNA, 259 nt
Filed under: uncultured bacterium
Lineage: Bacteria
Description: partial 16S ribosomal RNA
Rfam family: Bacterial small subunit ribosomal RNA
Source: RNAcentral
UACGGAGGGAGCUAGCGUUUGUUCGGAAUUACUGGGCGUAAAGCGCACGUAGGCGGCUUUGUAAGUUAGAGGUGAAAGCCCAGGGCUUAACCCUGGAAUUGCCUUUAAGAUCUGCAUCGCUAGAAUCGUGGAGAGGUGAGUGGAAUUCCGAGUGUAGAGGUGAAAUUCGUAGAUAUUAGGAAGAACACCAGUGGCGGAAGGCGGCUUACUGGUCCGGUACUGACGGCUGAAGGUGCGGAAAGCGUGGGGAGCAAACAGG